GUCACGCGUGGAGAUGGCAUUCCUCCUUUAACCGCCGAUUCGCUCGGCUGAUGAUGCCUACGUGCCC
This is a non-coding RNA of Burkholderia ambifaria IOP40-10, 67 nucleotides long. The record is from Rfam. NCBI's taxonomy places the organism in Bacteria, Pseudomonadati, Pseudomonadota, Betaproteobacteria, Burkholderiales, Burkholderiaceae.